UCUGGGAGCUCAAAAACAAAAAACAAAUGUUGUGUUUUUCUAUAGGAAGCCCAUAAAAAAGAUGAGAAGCUCUUGGAGUUUCCUCUCAAGCUGAGUCACAUCCAGGCUGCAGCCAGGAUCUCAUUGGAAACAUUAGAUGCUGAGCUGCAUUUGCUGACAUCUCGCACACACUCAGUGGAGGAGAGCAUCCAGAGAGACACAGAGCUGCUGCAGCAACUGGACAGCUUUCUGCAGCAUGCCACAUCAUCUCUCUGCUCACUCCGCGGCAGUCGGCAACAGCUAAAAAGGGAAGGCAGCGAGCUGAUCGACUUUUUCUGCGAGGACAGAGACACUUUCAGGCUGGACGACUGUUUCAGCAUCUUCCACACCUUCUGCUCCAGGUUCACAAAU
Molecule: non-coding RNA, 390 nt
Organism: Neolamprologus brichardi
Lineage: Eukaryota; Metazoa; Chordata; Actinopteri; Cichliformes; Cichlidae
Source: RefSeq, a predicted model, not a curated record